GACCGUGAGGGUUCGAGUCCCUCUAUCCCCA
RNAcentral lists this transfer RNA (31 nucleotides) under Austroblechnum divergens. RNAcentral describes it as "partial tRNA-Leu". The record is from RNAcentral. Lineage: Eukaryota; Viridiplantae; Streptophyta; Polypodiopsida; Polypodiales; Blechnaceae.